UACAGAGGUCUCAAGCGUUGUUCGGAUUCAUUGGGCGUAAAGGGCGUGUAGGCGGCGCCGUAAGUCGGGUGUGAAAUUUCGGAGCUUAACUCCGAAACUGCAUUCGAUACUGCGGUGCUUGAGGACUGGAGAGGAGACUGGAAUUCAUGGUGUAGCAGUGAAAUGCGUAGAGAUCAUGAGGAAGACCAGUGGCGAAGGCGGGUCUCUGGACAGUUCCUGACGCUGAGGCACGAAGGCCAGGGGAGCAAACGGG
RNAcentral lists this ribosomal RNA (253 nucleotides) under uncultured bacterium. Its description in RNAcentral is "partial 16S ribosomal RNA". It matches the Rfam family "Bacterial small subunit ribosomal RNA", at positions 524 to 776 of the family's 1533-position model. The record is from RNAcentral.